UACGUAGGUGGCAAGCGUUAUCCGGAAUUACUGGGCGUAAAGCGCACGCAGGCGGUCUUUUAAGUUUGACGUGAAAGCUCCCGGCUUAACUGGGAGAGGUCGUUGAAGACUGGGAGACUUGAGGCAAUGAGAGGGGUGUAGAAUUCCAGGUGUAGUGGUGGAAUGCGUAGAUAUCUGGAGGAAUACCAGUGGCGAAAGCGGCACCCUAGCGUUGUUCUGACGCUCAUGUGCGAAAGCGUGGGGAGCGAACGGG
RNAcentral lists this ribosomal RNA (253 nucleotides) under Litorilinea sp. RNAcentral's name for it is "partial 16S ribosomal RNA". It matches the Rfam family "Bacterial small subunit ribosomal RNA", at positions 524 to 776 of the family's 1533-position model. The record is from RNAcentral. RNAcentral also lists the same sequence under 1 other name. Lineage: Bacteria; Bacillati; Chloroflexota; Caldilineae; Caldilineales; Caldilineaceae.